Molecule: long non-coding RNA, 505 nt
Filed under: Nicotiana benthamiana
Lineage: Eukaryota; Viridiplantae; Streptophyta; Magnoliopsida; Solanales; Solanaceae
Description: long non-coding RNA (NBEN_LNC013844)
Source: RNAcentral
GAUCUUCUUCUUCAAAGAAGAGGAUCCAAAAUUCCAUGGCUCCUUCCUAAUCACAAGCGACCAGCACCCCUAGAACUACUGCCAUCAACUAUCGACCCAAACCAACGGCCCCUAUUUUCUUCUCGCACAACCAUUCUCCAACUCAAAAAUUCCAGCCACCGAACAACGCACACAGUUACGCAAACAAACAGAUUAUGGAGUAAUUUUUGAGUUCGAUGCGUGUGGAGGUUGCUGUUGAAGGCAGCCUGUUCCGAAUUCGAUAAGGUUUUCGGUUCGAGGUCUCGAUUUCGCUUGCCGUUCCUGUUUGAUUUUGCUGCUAUUGUUUUGUUCGAAUUUGAAAGAUAAGUUUGAUCGAGGUUGGUUUCAGUUCGAGCCUCAUUGCUGGUUCAGGUCCAUUUAAUUUUGUUCAUCUCUAUUUUUUAUUGUUGGAUGCUCGAUUUUGUCUCAAAUCUGAACUCAGAAGUUUGUACAUAUUGAUUGUCAAAACCUUAAAGAAAUUUUGGCU